Molecule: ribosomal RNA, 253 nt
Filed under: uncultured bacterium
Lineage: Bacteria
Description: partial 16S ribosomal RNA
Rfam family: Bacterial small subunit ribosomal RNA
Source: RNAcentral
GACAGAGGGUGCAAACGUUGUUCGGAAUUACUGGGCGUAAAGCGCGUGUAGGCGGCUUUUCAAGUCGGGCGUGAAAUCCCACGGCUCAACCGUGGAAGUGCACUCGAAACUGCAGAGCUAGAGUCCUGGAGAGGAAGGUGGAAUGCUUGGUGUAGAGGUGAAAUUCGUAGAUAUCAAGCGGAACACCGGUGGCGAAGGCGGCCUUCUGGACAGUGACUGACGCUGAGACGCGAAAGCGUGGGGAGCAAACAGG